Long non-coding RNA from Oncorhynchus tshawytscha (Chinook salmon), 1102 nucleotides. Lineage: Eukaryota; Metazoa; Chordata; Actinopteri; Salmoniformes; Salmonidae. The record is from Ensembl.
CCUAGGAACAGUGGGUUAACUGCCUGUUCAGGGACAGAACGACAGAUUUGUACCUUGUCAGCUCGGGGGUUUGAACUUGCAACCUUCCGGUUACUAGUCCAGCGUUCUAACCACGACCCUGCCGACUAUGAACAGGGCACCUGGUUUACGCCCGGGAGGGGUUCCAAAACGAAUGCCAGAUUAAUCGAGUCCCCUCUAUGAAGGGAAGCGAAGUAGGAGGUUGGUCAAUUUUCACGUGGAGCUAGGCAAAAUUAGAUUUGUUUACAUAAUCGAAUCCUACAGAUGAAGAACCAUAUAUUUGACAUAAAAAAAAUAGAUAUACAUGAAAAAUCAUUAUUGGACACCCUUUUUCUAUAGUGAACCGGUUUCACAAGCUUUCCACGCGCUAUUUAACAAUCAUUUUAAAUUUAAAGAUAGGCUCUCGUGGAAUAACCGUUUAUGUGCACCACUCAGAAUGGACGGACAAGCACACAACUUUUCUGUUGCUGAUGAAAAUCGCCGAAAUGUGGGAAAGAAACGUAAAACAAAACUAAUAGAAUGGAAAGACAGGCGAAGGAAGAUCUUACGGGAUGCUGGAAAACCCUAUACAAAUCGUAAGGGUUAAGAAAAAACUGGGGAAAAGCUGUCCAAAAUAGGAUCCUUGGAAUCUGUACGCCAGACAGAGCCACAGUCUAUUUGAGGGAUGGAAAUCGUGGCUGAUCUCCAAACCACAACAAGGAGCUACACCUCAACCUCCCUAUUUUGCAAGCCACUACCCUAGAACAUAUGAGAGUCCUCUGCCCAUCAAAAAAAAACAAGUACCAAGAUCUGAUGACCAUGCUCAACUACUUGCCAGCUGCUGCACACUCUUUUUAUAAAUCACUGCAGAGUGAAUAAUUUGUUGUUAAACCAAUCUACAUAAUUAACUGUUUUUUUCUGUGAGUUUAUGAUCCCUGAACCUGUAUAGUAUGUUGAAUCUGAAUACAUUUCAGAAGACAUGUUAGGAAAUUAAAUGUAUAGUAGGUGUUUUCUAUGUGAAUCAAUUUGUGUAUGAUUUGAACCAGCACAAUAUAAUGAAUUAAUUUAAUUUUAAGAUGUUCUUAGUGUAGAAAAUGUUAUGUAC